UACGUAGGGAGCAAGCGUUGUCCGGAAUCAUUGGGCGUAAAGCGCGCGUAGGCGGCCCUGUAAGUCCGUUGUGAAAGUCAAAGGCUCAACCUUUGAAAGCCGAUGGAUACUGCAGGGCUAGAGUCCGGAAGAGGCGAGUGGAAUUCCUGGUGUAGCGGUGGAAUGCGCAGAUAUCGGGAGGAACACCAGUGGCGAAGGCGACUACCUGGCCUGUUUCUUGACGCUGAGGCGCGAAAGCUAGGGGAGCAAACGGG
Molecule: ribosomal RNA, 254 nt
Filed under: uncultured bacterium
Lineage: Bacteria
Description: partial 16S ribosomal RNA
Rfam family: Bacterial small subunit ribosomal RNA
Source: RNAcentral